Triticum urartu is the source of this 1202-nucleotide non-coding RNA. Lineage: Eukaryota; Viridiplantae; Streptophyta; Magnoliopsida; Poales; Poaceae. The record is from RefSeq and is a predicted model, not a curated record.
ACACAGCUGGCGCCCCGCUCCGUAGGAUCCAAGUACGCCCCUCUCCGUGGUGUUCACUGAUUGCUUGGAGCAACAACGUGCUGUUGGAGUUGCCGAAGCAUUAGGUGAUUCGAUUGUGUGCGUUUGCUGGAUUUGUUUGACGAAGGAAAUAUGACGAUGAAGGGCACACAGAGGAGUGUGAGCGGUGAUGGUACCAAGGUUACCGGCAGACUUGCUCUCAGUUUUUAUUCUUGGCAGGUGAUUCUUCAUGAUAAUUUUUUGUAGAGGAACAUUUUUGCGAUGGGGCCGGGAACGGUGAUCGGUGGUGCUGGUGUCGGCAGUGCGGUACAAGGUCAGGAUGUGGGACGGGACGGCCAUCCGUGUGAGGCAGUCGGCGGCGAGGGUUUGUGGCAUCACGAGGAGCGCCCGCGGAUUCAAGGUGUUGGCCCGAGACCUCUGACGAGGGAGGAGACGAUGUUAGUAUUUCCAGAGGAAAGAAACAAGAGAAGAAGAACAAGAACAACAACGGCAAUCUCGGGUUCCAGGUACGAUGGAGCCGGCGGCGAAGCGCAUGGCGCUCGCAAACGUGAUAGUGGAUGACGACGAUACCCUCAACUGCGGCAUCUGCUACCUCCCUCCCAAGCCACCAGUCUUCCAGAACUCAGAUUUAUGACAAGGACACAAGCAAAUUUAUAGCAUCCGUUGUGAUGAUACAAGGGAAGUAAGCAUAGAUGCGCUUAACGUGAUGAUAGAUGGGAGAGCUCGGCCUAUGCUGCCAACUGAUCUGCAGCGGUGCAGAAGGAGAUUUCAAAAGCAGGGCAAGCGAGAGCGACUGUUCUAUUGAUGGUCAAAGGGAGGGCUUGGCAAGAGAGAUUGAGGGAGCUCUACUACCUCGAUCUUGGCAUAGAACCUGAUGGCAUCAUGCCCAGGAAACUUCCUUCUUCAGUAUGUAUGGGGAUUUAUAUGACACCAAAAGAGAAGUCCGGCGUGUUUCUUGGUUCUAUGGAACCCCUCGACCGGAAGCAAAUAGAUCACAUCGCAAGUUGCUUGCCCAAUAUAAUCGUGCCGCAAGUUACCAACAUCGCGUGCUUAUACACCAUCGACUUUGCUGGAAAUCUAUCUGUCCGUGCUCCACCGUCUGUCGGAACUUCUUCUGCCCAUGCUACACCUGAGGUACAUACUACAGUCUCAUCAAUUAAUAAUACCCAAUUGCUUGUCUGUUG